RNAcentral lists this ribosomal RNA (433 nucleotides) under uncultured bacterium. Its description in RNAcentral is "bacterial SSU rRNA". It matches the Rfam family "Bacterial small subunit ribosomal RNA", at positions 42 to 479 of the family's 1533-position model. The record is from RNAcentral.
UCAGGCCUAACACAUGCAAGUCGAGGGGUAUNGAGCUUGCUNCNUAGAGACCGGCGCAGGGUGCGUAACGCGUAUGCAAUCUACCUUUUACAGGGGGAUAGCCCGGAGAAAUUUGGAUUAAUACCCCAUAGUAUUAUUGAUUGGCAUCGAUUUAUAAUUAAAGAUUUAUCGGUAAUAGAUGAGCAUGCGUCCCAUUAGUUAGUUGGUGUGGUAACGGCACACCAAGGCGACGAUGGGUAGGGGUCCUGAGAGGGAGAUCCCCCACACUGGUACUGAGACACGGACCAGACUCCUACGGGAGGCAGCAGUGAGGAAUAUUGGUCAAUGGGGGCAANCCUGAUCCAGCCAUGCCGCGUGCAGGAAGANUGCCCUAUGGGUUGUAAACUGCUUUUAUACGGGAAGAAANACUCACGUGUNGGAGCUUGACGGUACC